RNAcentral lists this ribosomal RNA (332 nucleotides) under uncultured bacterium. Its description in RNAcentral is "bacterial SSU rRNA". It matches the Rfam family "Bacterial small subunit ribosomal RNA", at positions 568 to 898 of the family's 1533-position model. The record is from RNAcentral.
CGUGUAGGCGGUCGGGUAAGUGGAAUGUGAAAUGCCCCGGCUCACCCGGGGACCUGCAUCCCAAACUGCCUGGCUUGAGUAUGGGAGAGGAUGGAGGAAUUCCUGGUGUAGCGGUGAAAUGCGUAGAUGUCAGGAGGAACACCGGUGGCGAAGGCGUCCAUCUGGCCCAAUACUGACGCUGAUGCGCGAAAGCUAGGGGAGCGAACGGGAUUAGAUACCCCGGUAGUCCUAGCCGUAAACGGUGAUCACUAGGUGUUGGGGGCAUCGACCCCUCCAGUGCCGCAGCUAACGCAUUAAGUGAUCCGCCUGGGGAGUACGGCCGCAAGGUUGAA